Molecule: ribosomal RNA, 450 nt
Filed under: uncultured bacterium
Lineage: Bacteria
Description: bacterial SSU rRNA
Rfam family: Bacterial small subunit ribosomal RNA
Source: RNAcentral
GCUAACGCUGGCGGCGCGCCUAACACAUGCAAGUCGAACGAACCCUUCGGGGUUAGUGGCAGACGGGUGAGUAACGCGUGGAUAAUGUGCCUUUUUGCUGGGGAUACCGUUUCGAAAGGAACGUUAAUACCGUAAUGUGCUCGACUGGUGGCAUCACCUAUCGAGUAAACUUUCAGGGCGAAAAGAGCAAUCCGCGUUCUAUCAGCUUGUUGGUGGGGUAACGGCCUACCAAGGCUACGACGGAUAACUGGUCUGAGAGGAUGAUCAGUCACACUGGAACUGAGACACGGUCCAGACUCCUACGGGAGGCAGCAGUGAGGAAUCUUGCACAAUGGGCGAAAGCCUGAUGCAGCGACGCCGCGUGAGGGACUAAGGCCUUCGGGUUGUAAACCUCUGUCAGUAGGGAAGAAGAUUGACGGUACCUACUGAGGAAGCUUCGGCUAACUACGU